UACAGAGGGUGCGAGCGUUAAUCGGAAUUACUGGGCGUAAAGCGCGCUUAGGCGGCUUUGCAAGUCGGGUGUGAAAUCCCCAGGCUUAACCUGGGAACUGCAUUCGAGACUGCAUUGCUAGAGUAUGGGAGAGGGAAGUGGAAUUUCCGGUGUAGCGGUGAAAUGCGUAGAUAUCGGAAGGAACAUCAGUGGCGAAGGCGGCUCACUGGCCCGGUACUGACGCUGAGGUGCGAAAGCGUGGGGAGCAAACAGG
This 253-nucleotide ribosomal RNA is filed under the name uncultured bacterium. Its description in RNAcentral is "partial 16S ribosomal RNA". It matches the Rfam family "Bacterial small subunit ribosomal RNA", at positions 524 to 776 of the family's 1533-position model. The record is from RNAcentral.